UACAGAGGUCCCAAGCGUUGUUCGGAUUCACUGGGCGUAAAGGGUGCGUAGGUGGUGGGGUAAGUCUGAUGUGAAAUCUCCGAGCUCAACUCGGAAAAUGCAUUGGAUACUACUUUGCUAGAGGAUUGGAGGGGAGACUGGAAUUCUUGGUGUAGCAGUGAAAUGCGUAGAUAUCAAGAGGAACACCAGUGGCGAAAGCGAGUCUCUGGACAAUUCCUGACACUGAGGCACGAAAGCUAGGGGAGCAAACAGG
This 253-nucleotide ribosomal RNA is filed under the name uncultured bacterium. RNAcentral describes it as "partial 16S ribosomal RNA". It matches the Rfam family "Bacterial small subunit ribosomal RNA", at positions 524 to 776 of the family's 1533-position model. The record is from RNAcentral.